AAAGUCGUAACAAGGUAACCGUAGGUGAACCUGCGGUUGGAUCAUUAAAAAGAUUAGUUUAUUGGCUUGUAUUUAUUAAAAUAAUACACGGUCUCCCUUCCACACGUUGAGGAUCCCUUUCGUUCGUUCGUUCUUUAUGGGAUCUUCCGUUCUUGAGGGAGGCUUUAAGCCUUUAACUCAACAUCUUGUGAACUGUUCUGUUUUUGGCGGGUGGAUGGAGUUGUCUCCGUUUGUCAGCUCGGCAUCUAUGCCAAGCCGUGGACAUCCCGCCGACCGUUUGCAUAACUUCUGCCUUUUUUUAUUUUUUCCUGACAUUUUGUAUGAAUAAUACAAACAACUUUUGGCAACGGAUCUCUUGGCUCUC
This 364-nucleotide unclassified non-coding RNA is filed under the name Chytridiomycota sp. RNAcentral describes it as "partial contains small subunit ribosomal RNA, internal transcribed spacer 1, and 5.8S ribosomal RNA". The stretch from base 1 to 47 matches the Rfam family "Eukaryotic small subunit ribosomal RNA", at positions 1785 to 1831 of the family's 1831-position model. Lineage: Eukaryota; Fungi; Chytridiomycota. The record is from RNAcentral.